This 460-nucleotide ribosomal RNA is filed under the name uncultured bacterium. Its description in RNAcentral is "partial 16S ribosomal RNA". It matches the Rfam family "Bacterial small subunit ribosomal RNA", at positions 338 to 795 of the family's 1533-position model. The record is from RNAcentral.
CCUACGGGCGGCAGCAGUGAGGAAUAUUGGUCAAUGGACGAGAGUCUGAACCAGCCAAGUAGCGUGAAGGAUGACUGCCCUAUGGGUUGUAAACUUCUUUUAUAUGGGAAUAAAACGUUCCACGUGUGGGAUUUUGUAUGUACCAUAUGAAUAAGGAUCGGCUAACUCCGUGCCAGCAGCCGCGGUAAUACGGAGGUUCCGAGCGUUAUCCGGAUUUAUUGGGUUUAAAGGGAGCGUAGGUGGAUUGUUAAGUCAGUUGUGAAAGUUUGCGGCUCAACCGUAAAAUUGCAGUUGAAACUGGCAGUCUUGAGUACAGUAGAGGUGGGCGGAAUUCGUGGUGUAGCGGUGAAAUGCUUAGAUAUCACGAAGAACUCCGAUUGCGAAGGCAGUUCACUGGACUGCAACUGACACUGAGGCUCGAAAGUGUGGGUAUCAAACAGGAUUAGAUACCCGAGUAGUC